AACGAACGCUGGCGGCAGGCCUAAUACAUGCAAGUCGAACGCCCGUAGCAAUACGGGAGUGGCAGACGGGUGAGUAACGCGUGGGAACAUACCCUUUGGUACGGAACAACUCCGGGAAACUGGAGCUAAUACCGUAUGUGCCCUAUGGGGGAAAGAUUUAUCGCCAAAGGAUUGGCCCGCGUCUGAUUAGCUAGUUGGUGGGGUAACGGCCCACCAAGGCGACGAUCAGUAGCUGGUCUGAGAGGAUGAUCAGCCACACUGGGACUGAGACACGGCCCAGACUCCUACGGGAGGCAGCAGUAGGGAAUAUUGGACAAUGGGCGCAAGCCUGAUCCAGCCAUGCCGCGUGAGUGAUGAAGGCCUUAGGGUUGUAAAGCUCUUUCGGCGGGGACGAUAAUGACGGUACCGCAGAAGAAGCCCCGGCUAACUUCGUGCCAGCAGCCGCGGUAAGGUCGUCAUGU
This 461-nucleotide ribosomal RNA is filed under the name uncultured bacterium. Its description in RNAcentral is "bacterial SSU rRNA". It matches the Rfam family "Bacterial small subunit ribosomal RNA", at positions 29 to 532 of the family's 1533-position model. The record is from RNAcentral.